This 511-nucleotide long non-coding RNA is filed under the name Trifolium pratense (red clover). Its description in RNAcentral is "long non-coding RNA (TPRA_LNC011047)". Lineage: Eukaryota; Viridiplantae; Streptophyta; Magnoliopsida; Fabales; Fabaceae. The record is from RNAcentral.
AAAUUUCUUUAUUAUCAUUAUAGCCUGAAAUCUUAACCACAUUUCUUAUGUAAUAUUUCUUUUAAACAUAAAAUUUCAUUGCUGGCAAGCCUUAUUCCAAUUUAAAAUUAUAUAUGUAGUACACUACAAAUAACAAUAACUAUAUUCAAUCAAAUGGGUUUGAAAUAUAACAAAUAAUGAGAGAGAACGUCUCCCUUCAAAUCCAUCAAACUAAAGCUAAUACUCUGUUAUAUUACAUACCUUUUUCCUCAUAUUCAUAAGCGGCAAUAUCUGAUUGAACAUUAAAAAAAAAUAUAUAUAAACAAGAUCGUAGAGUAAGAAGCAACAUCACCAUAGAUUGAACAAAAAUAUAAUAGAUCUGGAAUCCGAAAAUGAAUUGAAAAUAAAUCUGGAAUCCAAAAACUAAAAUGGAUCUGAAGUGCUUACCUUCGCUGCAGUCGUGUGCUCUGCUUCAUGCAUCGAUCUUUGUCGUCGCUAGGAAUAAUUCAAGGAAUCAAAAUAAAAGUAAUUA